Molecule: transfer RNA, 74 nt
Filed under: Lactonifactor longoviformis
Lineage: Bacteria; Bacillati; Bacillota; Clostridia; Eubacteriales; Clostridiaceae
Also listed under: 7 other names
Description: tRNA-Arg
Rfam family: tRNA
About the family: Transfer RNA (tRNA) molecules are approximately 80 nucleotides in length. Their secondary structure includes four short double-helical elements and three loops (D, anti-codon, and T loops).
Source: RNAcentral
GUGCUUGUAGCUCAGUUGGAUAGAGCAACGGCCUUCUAAGCCGUGGGUCGGGGGUUCGAAUCCCUCCAGGCACG